This 406-nucleotide ribosomal RNA is filed under the name uncultured bacterium. RNAcentral describes it as "partial 16S ribosomal RNA". It matches the Rfam family "Bacterial small subunit ribosomal RNA", at positions 28 to 526 of the family's 1533-position model. The record is from RNAcentral.
GUUGAACGCUGGCGGCAGGCCUAACACCUGCCCGUCGAGCGGAGCGGCGGACGGGUGAGUAAUGCCUAGGAAUCUGCCUGGUCGUGGGGGAUAACGUCCGGUAACGGGCGCUAAUACCGCCUACUCUCAGCUGCGCCUAGGUCGGCUUAGCUAGUUGGUGGUGUAAAGGCCUACCAAGGCGACGAUCCGUAACUGGUCUGAGAGGAUGAUCAGUCACACGGGAACUGAGAAACGGUCCAGACUCCUACGGGAGGAAGAAGGGGGGAAUAUUGGAAAAGGGGCGAAAGCCUGAUCCAGCCAUGCCGCGUGUGUGAAGAAGGUCUUCGGAUUGUAAAGCACUUUAAGUUGGGAGGCGUUACCAACAGAAUAAGCACCGGCUAACUUCGGGCCAGCAGCCGCGUAAUUC